AUUGAACGCUGGCGGCAGGCCUAACACAUGCAAGUCGAGCGGAUGAAGGGAGCUUGCUCCUGGAUUCAGCGGCGGACGGGUGAGUAAUGCCUAGGAAUCUGCCUGGCAGUGGGGGAUAACGUCCGGAAACGGGCGCUAAUACCGCAUACGUCCUGAGGGAGAAAGUGGGGGAUCUUCGGACCUCACGCUAUCAGAUGAGCCUAGGUCGGAUUAGCUAGUUGGUGGGGUAAAGGCCUACCAAGGCGACGAUCCGUAACUGGUCUGAGAGGAUGAUCAGUCACACUGGAACUGAGACACGGUCCAGGCUCCUACGGGAGGCAGCAGUGGGGAAUAUUGGACAAUGGGCGAAAGUCUGAUCCAGCCGUGCCGCGUGUGUGAAGAAGGUCUUCGGAUUGUAAAGCACUUUAAGUUGGGAGGAAGGGCAGUAAGUUAAUACCUUGCUGUUUUGACGUUACCAACAGAAUAAGCACCGGCUAACUUCGUG
Molecule: ribosomal RNA, 484 nt
Filed under: uncultured bacterium
Lineage: Bacteria
Description: partial 16S ribosomal RNA
Rfam family: Bacterial small subunit ribosomal RNA
Source: RNAcentral